CUGCAGCCCGAGUGGUGAUCGAUUUUAUUGAGCCUAAAGCGUCCGUAGCCGGACUAGUAAACCCUUGGGUAAAUUGGGCAGCUUAACUGUCCAAAUUCCGAGGGGACUGCUAGUCUUGGGACCGGGAGAGGUCAGAGGUACUCCAGGGGUAGGGGCUAAAUCCUGUAAUCCUUGGGGGACCACCAGUGGCGAAGGCGUCUGACUAGAACGGAUCCGACGGUAAGGGACGAAACCCUGGGGCGCGAACCGGAUUAGAUACCCGCGUAGUCC
RNAcentral lists this ribosomal RNA (270 nucleotides) under uncultured archaeon. RNAcentral's name for it is "partial 16S ribosomal RNA". It matches the Rfam family "Archaeal small subunit ribosomal RNA", at positions 477 to 747 of the family's 1478-position model. The record is from RNAcentral.